CAGCCGCCGCGGUAACACGUAGGGUGCGAGCGUUAAUCGGAAUUACUGGGCGUAAAGCGUGCGCAGGCGGUUGUGUAAGACAGGUGUGAAAUCCCCGGGCUUAACCUGGGAACUGCGCUUGUGACUGCACAGCUAGAGUAUGGCAGAGGGGGGUGGAAUUCCACGUGUAGCAGUGAAAUGCGUAGAGAUGUGGAGGAACACCGAUGGCGAAGGCAGCCCCCUGGGCCAAUACUGACGCUCAUGCACGAAAGCGUGGGGAGCAAACAGGAUUAGAUACCCGCGUAGUCCCUGUCUCUUAUAC
RNAcentral lists this ribosomal RNA (301 nucleotides) under uncultured bacterium. RNAcentral describes it as "partial 16S ribosomal RNA". It matches the Rfam family "Bacterial small subunit ribosomal RNA", at positions 509 to 807 of the family's 1533-position model. The record is from RNAcentral.